RNAcentral lists this long non-coding RNA (1813 nucleotides) under Homo sapiens (human). RNAcentral describes it as "HSALNT0056575". The record is from RNAcentral. Lineage: Eukaryota; Metazoa; Chordata; Mammalia; Primates; Hominidae.
UUGGGACCCUCAGGUAUAGACUUCAGUAUCGAGUUAAACAAGACCAAUCAUGGCAUGUUUUAGACAUGUUCAGAUAUGUAAAUCAAAAUCAUGUUUAUCAGCCCUAAAUGUACAGAAUCUAAAUUUAAUUCACAAGAGGAGGUUUGUGAGUUAAUGAGCGUCAGUAAUCUCAUGGACUCUGAAUGUGUUUUAUUCUUUCAACAUUCAACAUUCAACAGAAGAUCUGUUACAACCUGCAGAUGGAAAAAUUCCCAAAUCCAGCCUAAAAAUACGUGAAGGAGGGAGACAGAAGAAGGAGAAGCAAGUGAAGAAUAGAGGAAGUUACUGGGACAAAUACAGCAGAUCUUCAUACUAUAAUGUAGAAUAUGAAGAAACACAUAAACCACUUGCAUUUGUUCAUUUCAAGGAUCACUAGUUGCUCUUAAUAUGGGUUUAGGAGUUUUGUUCUACAUAUUUUGAGUGUGAAGGUUCAUGACUGAAGCCCCUAUAAUGAAAGACAGAAUAACAAGAGAAAAACGAACUAAUUUACAUAAUAUAAGUUCUACAUGACACAAGAGCCAACAUAAGGAAAUGAAGACUCAAAGAAGCAAUUAAACCUGAGGGUCUUUUAAAUAUAAGAUGAGAAUGCGCUUUUCCUCUGGGGAUUGUGAAGGCACCUCUCAUAUGGUCUCAUACCCUGCUUCACAGAAGAAGGGCGAGUGAAGAACAAAACACCUGUCACAUGAGGGUCUUCAGCAAGGAGAAAGAUCAGAAAAUGACCUUCCUAGGUUUUAUGCCCUGCUUCAGGGGAGAAGAGUGAGGGGAAGAUGAGAGUGACCUUCCUACUUCUGCUGUUUCCUCAAAUGCCAAGGUGCCAUAUCUUGGGGUAGCAUGUCCUGUUUUUUUUAACAAUACACGAAGCUAAAAUUCUAAACUGUUUAUAAAACUUCAUGGUCAUGUAGAAGCAGCAAAUCCAUAUGGGUCUGCAGUAAUUGGAUUCUUACCUCCUGGGAGGAAAGACUUCAUCUGAGGGACAUAAGGCAGAGUGAUAGACUGAGGCAAGUUUUAGAGCAGGAGUGAGAGUUUGUUAAAAAGUUCUAGAGCAAGAACGAAAGGAAGCAAAGUACACUUGGAAGAGGGCCAAAUUGGCAACUUGAGGGAUCCAAGUGUGCUGUCCGACCCUUGACUUAGGGUUUUAUGCAUUGGCAUGAUUCUGGGGUUUGCGCUUCUUCUCCACGGAUUCCUCCCUUGGGGUGGGAUAUCUGUAUGCACAGUGGCCUGCCUAUACUUGAGAGGCACCACAUGCACAGUAUGUUUGCUGAAGUUAUGCACAUGCUCAUUUGAGAUGUUUUUCCUUUACCAGUUGAAUGUUCCUAGAGGAAAGUCACAAAUUAGUUAAACUCAGGCAUUUUGCCUCUUAAUGCACAUGCUUGAGUCCAUUCACCCAAAUCCUGAAAUCUUAUUGGGAUGCUGCUGAUCAUCAGCUUUAGGUGUUUCUAUCUAUUGGGAGACUGCCUUUCUCUGGUGUUGGUUGCAAACAAUUAAUUUAGAGAGCCCAUUUAACAGCCACCUGACCACCACCUGAUGCUCACCUGACAUUCCUGGUUUGUGGGGCUAGGGGAAGGGGCAUUUCCUGCCCUGCUCAUGUCUGCCUAGCUACAUACUCUAACAGUCAUAGUUGGAAGAAAACAUUUCCUCUUUAAAUCAAAAAUAAUAAAUUUAAGAAGAAAGGUAUUAGGAGUGAAUUACAUUAUGAAGUUUCUAUAUUUAUUUUAUGGUAAAAAUUUAGGAUCUCAAUCACUUAUUUCAUUUAUCUGUGAUAUUCCGGCUGCAG